UACAGAGGUCCCAAGCGUUACUGAGAAUCACUGGGUUUAAAGGGUGCGUAGGUGGUCCGUUAAGUCAGUUGUGAAAUCCCCGGGCUCAACCCGGGAACUGCUUCUGAUACUGGCGGACUUGAGGCCAGUAGAGGUCACUGGAACUGACGGUGGAGCGGUGAAAUGCGUAGAUAUCGUCAGGAACGCCGGUGGUGAAGACGGGUGACUGGGCUGGCUCUGACACUGAGGCACGAAAGCGUAGGUAGCAAACAGG
Molecule: ribosomal RNA, 253 nt
Filed under: uncultured bacterium
Lineage: Bacteria
Description: partial 16S ribosomal RNA
Rfam family: Bacterial small subunit ribosomal RNA
Source: RNAcentral